Molecule: long non-coding RNA, 1199 nt
Organism: Brassica napus (rape)
Lineage: Eukaryota; Viridiplantae; Streptophyta; Magnoliopsida; Brassicales; Brassicaceae
Exons: 4
Source: RefSeq, a predicted model, not a curated record
GCUGGCCCGUGACACUUGCAUCUUCUUCUCAGGCACAAAUUUAGGGUUCACCCGCUUUAGGACUCUUCCAUCCUUUAUGUUAAUAACAAUUGCAGUUCUGAGAUUUUUAUAUACGCUUUGUCACUAAUCUCAAAGUCCGUUUAUGUCCAGAUCACUUUAUCUUCUAUCUCUUACCUCCGAACCGUUACAAGUCGCAUAGAUUGGCAUCAUUAACACAUACUUAACUCUUCCUCACCAGUAGGACCACGAUCAAGAAUUCAAUGAAUCUUAUUCAACUUCCAGUCGGUGAUUCUCUCCUAUAAAAAGAUGGAGGUGAAGAUCUUAUCUGCCACCAUUCAGUAUGAAGCAGGCUUUGUCGAAAAGCUAUGGCAAAGAUUCUCUGCCAGGAGAUGGAGUUUAGAUGAGGAACUGGAAAAGCUAUUCCCUUUAGUCACGAAAUAGAAGUAAUUCAACUCAAGUUGCGUGAUCAAGCUAGAUACGACAAAUUGUUACAGUCACACGGCGGAUUAUUAAAUAUCCCGUCGAGGAAACUUUUGAUCCUUUCGUUGUUGGAUCAUACUACACGAAAUUGCGGCUGUGAUCUCUCUCAAGAGCCUUUUACGUACAGAUUGACACAUGAGGUGAUGUUUUGUGGGUUAGUUGUGCUAUUUGCAAUGGUGCCCCUAAACCAGUGAACUCCAAGUAAAUUCUCUGAUUUGAGUUAAUGUGCUUCUUGCAAUGGCUGCCCUCAAACAAAAGAGAUUCAGUUGACUUACUCUGAUCCAGGGAGCUCAGUAACAACGACACCAAUCUCAUGUUCUGACCAAAGAUGCAGCUGGGGUGUUCAGUCCUCUAAUUCAUGCUCUUCUGCUCAGAACAACAUUUGCGCUUACACGUUUCAGUAUGGGGAUGGAAGUUGCACCUCAGGGUUCUUCGUCUCUGGUGUCUUGCAGUUCGACAUACGUUUGAUUACUAUGACUCUUGGCCAGACAUAUUGUCUCAUUUUUGAUUAAGUUCUCUGCAUUUCAGUGUUUUCUUCUUGCAUCACUUGAACAGUGAUGAGCCCAAGGCUCAAGCUUCUUACUAAUGUCAUCUUCCCACCUGGCUCAAAUAAAUGUUGUUAAUAUACAUGUGGUCUCUGAGUUUAGAUUUAUGAACUAUGGAACACCUCUUACAAAUUGUUCCAAAGGAACACGUUUGAGACUUUUUGUGUAUUUCUA